Molecule: ribosomal RNA, 464 nt
Filed under: Vreelandella stevensii
Lineage: Bacteria; Pseudomonadati; Pseudomonadota; Gammaproteobacteria; Oceanospirillales; Halomonadaceae
Description: partial 16S ribosomal RNA
Rfam family: Bacterial small subunit ribosomal RNA
Source: RNAcentral
CCUACGGGAGGCAGCAGUGGGGAAUAUUGGACAAUGGGGGGAACCCUGAUCCAGCCAUGCCGCGUGUGUGAAGAAGGCCCUCGGGUUGUAAAGCACUUUCAGUGAGGAAGAACGCCUGGUGGUUAAUACCCAUCAGGAAAGACAUCACUCACAGAAGAAGCACCGGCUAACUCCGUGCCAGCAGCCGCGGUAAUACGGAGGGUGCGAGCGUUAAUCGGAAUUACUGGGCGUAAAGCGCGCGUAGGUGGCUUGAUAAGCCGGUUGUGAAAGCCCCGGGCUCAACCUGGGAACGGCAUCCGGAACUGUCAAGCUAGAGUGCAGGAGAGGAAGGUAGAAUUCCCGGUGUAGCGGUGAAAUGCGUAGAGAUCGGGAGGAAUACCAGUGGCGAAGGCGGCCUUCUGGACUGACACUGACACUGAGGUGCGAAAGCGUGGGUAGCAAACAGGAUUAGAUACCCUGGUAGC